AUUGAACGCUGGCGGCAUGCCUUACACAUGCAAGUCGAACGGCAGCACGGGGGCAACCCUGGUGGCGAGCGGCGAACGGGUGAGUAACAUAUCGGAACAUACCCUAGAGUGGGGGAUAACGUAGCGAAAGUUACGCUAAUACCGCAUACGAUCUAAGGAUGAAAGUGGGGGAUCUUCGGACCUCAUGCUCAUGGAGUGGCCGAUAUCUGAUUAGCUAGUUGGUGAGGUAAAGGCUCACCAAGGCGACGAUCAGUAGCUGGUUUGAGAGAACGACCAGCCACACUGGGACUGAGACACGGCCCAGACUCCUACGGGAGGCAGCAGUGGGGAAUUUUGGACAAUGGGCGCAAGCCUGAUCCAGCCAUGCCGCGUGUGGGGAAGAAGGCCUUCGGUUGUAACACUUUGUC
RNAcentral lists this ribosomal RNA (407 nucleotides) under uncultured bacterium. RNAcentral's name for it is "bacterial SSU rRNA". It matches the Rfam family "Bacterial small subunit ribosomal RNA", at positions 30 to 439 of the family's 1533-position model. The record is from RNAcentral.